Suricata suricatta (meerkat) is the source of this 689-nucleotide long non-coding RNA. RefSeq lists it as uncharacterized. The transcript has 3 exons. NCBI's taxonomy places the organism in Eukaryota, Metazoa, Chordata, Mammalia, Carnivora, Herpestidae. The record is from RefSeq and is a predicted model, not a curated record.
UCUGUCCCGAGGGGGCCGCGAACCCGGUGGCCGCGGGCGAGGCUGGCGGGGACCGGCGUCCUCGUCGCCGGGGAGCCCGAGCCGCUGGGCCCGGGCCGGACGGUUCGGUCGUGUUUGCGCGCGCGGUGGUGCGAGGCCCCUUGUUGCCGGCGGAGGUGGAGAGGUGAUGGCAGAGGGACGCGAGGAGCAACAACAACAACAAAGAGGAGUCCUUUAUGGCAAAGUCAGACCAUCCUAGGCCUCUUGAGAGUUACUCCUUACUCUUUGGAAUGAACGCACUUCGGGCAGGAUGACUGAAACUCAGAGGAUGGUCCCUGGGGAGCCUCGUGCUUCUGGAGGAAUGAACACUCUUAUGAUGACAGCUGUAUCUAAGCAGAAGGAAGGAAAUACUUUACCUGGAGAGAAGGCUUCAAGCUCAGUACUUGUUUGCAAUUAGUGGGUUCAGAGUUGCAGAAUUCCUCCACUCCCAUGGUGCUAAAGCCAGUGCUUCCUUUGGGGCUCAGCUCGGGUACCAGAGAGACCGGCUGAUACUUCUACUCCUGCGUAAUCCCAAGAACUUCUAAAUAUCGUGAGCAGUUCUUAUGCUUUUCACUCCACAAAACUUGAUAUCUAUGUUUAUGUUAUUAUGAUAAUUCCUCCUGAUAUUGUAUUUCUUCUGUGGAAUAGUAAAGAAUUAAAUGUUCUACCAA